This 426-nucleotide ribosomal RNA is filed under the name uncultured bacterium. Its description in RNAcentral is "bacterial SSU rRNA". It matches the Rfam family "Bacterial small subunit ribosomal RNA", at positions 354 to 796 of the family's 1533-position model. The record is from RNAcentral.
GCGAGGAAUAUUGGGCAAUGGGCGCAAGCCUGACCCAGUAACGCCGCGUGCGGGAAGAAGGCCUUCGGGUUGUAAACCGCUUUUCCGAGGGACGAGCGAGGACGGUACCUGGGGAAUAAGUCUCGGCUAACUACGUGCCAGCAGCCGCGGUAAAACGUAGGGGGCGAGCGUUAUCCGGAUUCACUGGGCGUAAAGCGCAUGUAGGUGGUUCGUCAAGUCGAGUGUGAAAGCCCCUGGCUCAACUGGGGGAGGACAGUCGAAACUGGCGGACUGGAGGGUCCGAGAGGAAGGUGGGAUUCCCGGUGUAGCGGUGGAAUGCGUAGAGAUCGGGAGGAACACCAGUGGCGCAGGCGGCCUUCUGGCGGGCUUCUGACACUGAGAUGCGAAAGCGUGGGGAGCAAACGGGAUUAGAUACCCCUGUAGUCC